UACGGGGGGGGCAAGCGUUGUUCGGAAUUACUGGGCGUAAAGGGCGCGUAGGCGGCCAUCUAAGUCAGACGUGAAAUCCCCCGGCUUAACCUGGGAACUGCGUCUGAUACUGGACGGCUGGAGUUUGGGAGAGGGAUGUAGAAUUCCAGGUGUAGCGGUGAAAUGCGUAGAUAUCUGGAGGAAUACCGGUGGCGAAGGCGGCAUCCUGGACCAAUACUGACGCUGAGGCGCGAAAGAUAGGGGAGCAAACGGG
Molecule: ribosomal RNA, 253 nt
Filed under: uncultured bacterium
Lineage: Bacteria
Description: partial 16S ribosomal RNA
Rfam family: Bacterial small subunit ribosomal RNA
Source: RNAcentral